This 77-nucleotide microRNA precursor is filed under the name Heligmosomoides polygyrus. RNAcentral describes it as "microRNA hpo-mir-10156b precursor". The record is from miRBase by way of RNAcentral. Lineage: Eukaryota; Metazoa; Nematoda; Chromadorea; Rhabditida; Heligmosomidae.
UAGCAAUGACGCUCCUUUGUGCUAUUGUUAUGCACAAAUGACACAACAAUAGCACAAAGGAGCGUCACUGCCACAAU